Molecule: ribosomal RNA, 1376 nt
Filed under: human gut metagenome
Description: bacterial LSU rRNA
Rfam family: Bacterial large subunit ribosomal RNA
Source: RNAcentral
GCUUAGAAGCAGCCACUCAUUCAAAGAGUGCGUAAUAGCUCACUGGUCGAGUGACAAUGCGCCGAAAAUAACCGGGGCUAAAACCUUACACCGAAGUUUAGGGAUAGAAGUAAUUCUAUCGGUAGAGGAGCAAUGUAUGCGGGCUGAAGCGAUACCGUAAGGAGUCGUGGACUGCAUACAAGAGAGAAUGCCGGCAUGAGUAGCGAGAGUGGGGCGAGAACCCCCACCGUCGAAAGUCUUAGGUUUCCUGGGGAAGGUCCGUCCUCCCAGGGUUAGUCGGGAGCUAAGCUGAGGCCGAAAGGCGUAGGCGAUGCACAACAGGCAGAUAUUCCUGUACCACCGAAUAACGAUAAAGAGCUGAUGCAGUGACACAGUAGGAUAGUGAAAACACGGAGAUGGAAAGCCGUGGCCAAAUCAUGAGGGGUCUAAAUAGUGAAGUACGUUUAGAGUGCACCCUGGGUGAUGAUGGGGAGUGAAAUUUAGUAACGAAGUUCAUGAAUUCACACUGGCGAGAAAAGCUGCUAGGUAGUUAUUAGGUGCCCGUACCGCAAACCGACACAGGUAGACGAUGAGAGAAUCAUAAGACGAACGGGAUAACCCUUGUUAAGGAACUCGGCAAAAUGACCCCGUAACUUCGGGAGAAGGGGUGCCACCGCGAGGUGGUCGCAGUGAAACGGCCCAAGCAACUGUUUACCAAAAACACAGGUCUCUGCAAAAUCGUAAGAUGAUGUAUAGGGGCUGACGCCUGCCCGGUGCUGGAAGGUUAAGAGGAGAGGUUAGCGCAAGCGAAGCUUUGAAUUUAAGCCCCAGUAAACGGCGGCCGUAACUAUAACGGUCCUAAGGUAGCGAAAUUCCUUGUCAGGUAAGUUCUGACCCGCAUGAAUGGCGUAAUGAUUUGGGCACUGUCUCAACAGGGGACCCGGCGAAAUUGAAGUAUACGUGAAGAUGCGUAUUACCCGCGACUAGACGGAAAGACCCCGUAGAGCUUUACUGUAAUUUGGCAUUGGGAUCCGGAAUUGAAUGUACAGGAUAUGUGGGAGGCAUUGAAGCAGUGGCGUCAGCUGCUGUGGAGCCGUCCUUGGGAUACCACACUUUUGAUUUUGGGUUUCUAACGUUGCGCAGUUAUCCUGGCAACGAACAGUGCCUGAUGGACAGUUUGACUGGGGCGGUCGCCUCCAAAAGAGUAACGGAGGCGCACAAAGGUUCUCUCAGGAUGGUUGGAAACCAUCUUCAUAGAGUGUAAAGGCAGAAGAGAGCUUGACUGUGACACCUACAAGUGGAACAGAUACGAAAGUAGGUCUUAGUGAUCCGGCGGUUGAGUAUGGAAUUGCCGUCGCUUAACGGAUAAAAGUUACCUCGGGGAUAACAGGCUGAUC